UGCGUAGGCGGGGCGUUAAGUCAGUGGUGAAAUCUUGCAGCUCAACUGUAAACUUGCCAUUGAUACUGACGCUCUUGAGUGCGCUUGAAGUAGGCGGAAUGUGUCGUGUAGCGGUGAAAUGCUUAGAUAUGACACAGAACACCAAUUGCGAAGGCAGCUUACUAAGGCGAUACUGACGCUGAGGCACGAAAGCGUGGGGAUCGAACAGGAUUAGAUACCCUGGUAGUCC
This 229-nucleotide ribosomal RNA is filed under the name uncultured bacterium. Its description in RNAcentral is "partial 16S ribosomal RNA". It matches the Rfam family "Bacterial small subunit ribosomal RNA", at positions 568 to 796 of the family's 1533-position model. The record is from RNAcentral.